Molecule: unclassified non-coding RNA, 241 nt
Filed under: Hevea brasiliensis (rubber tree)
Lineage: Eukaryota; Viridiplantae; Streptophyta; Magnoliopsida; Malpighiales; Euphorbiaceae
Source: RNAcentral
GUGAAGUAGCACUUCCUAACCCACAUCAAUCUACACACAAAAAUCUCAUCCAAAUCCGAUCCAUUAAAUGUGUUAAAAUUUAAUAAAUAUCACAUGAAGUAUCCAGAUCAGUAUCCUCCACAAAAGUUGCCAAAAGCCAUAUGGUGAAGUAGCUUUCCUUAACCCACAGUAAUCUACAUAUUAAAAUGUUUCUAUAAUUCAAUAAAGGAUAUCAAAAUUUACCAAAUGUCACAAGAAUCAC